Molecule: ribosomal RNA, 497 nt
Filed under: uncultured bacterium
Lineage: Bacteria
Description: partial 16S ribosomal RNA
Rfam family: Bacterial small subunit ribosomal RNA
Source: RNAcentral
GAUGAACGCUGGCGGCGUGCCUAAUACAUGCACGUCGAGCGAACAGACUAGGAGCUUGCUCCUCUCACGUUAGCGGCGGACGGGUGAGUAACACGUGGAUAACCUACCUAUAAGACUGCGAUAACUUCGGCCAACCGACGCUAAUACCUGAUCAUAUAUUGAACCGCAUGGUUCAAUAGUGAAAGACGGUUUUGCUGUCACUUAUAGAUGGAUCCGCGCCGCAUUAACUAGUUGGUAAGGUGACGGCUUACCAAGGCAACGAUGCGUAGCCGACGUGAGAGGGGGACAGGCCACCUGGGAACUGGGAGCAGGUCCAGACUCCUACGGGACGCAACAGCAGGGAACCUUCCGCAAUGGGCGAAAGCCUUCCGGAGCAACGCCGAGUGAGUGAUGAAGGUCUUCGGAUCGUAAAACUCUGUUAUUAGGGAAGAACAAAUGUGUAAGUAACUAUGCACGUCUUGACGGUACCUAAUCAGAAAGCCACGGCUAACUACGUG